UCCUCCUUUUCAUCUUCAAAGUUCCUUGAAAUCCAAUUAUCCAAAUACCCCUAGUCACCAUUUCCUGGUUUGAUUCCUCUCUUCUCAACUACUACUUCCUCCGGUUCCCAUAUUCUUUCUCUCAAUUUCCGGUGUUUUCUCUUUUACUUCGAUCAGAUGAAAAAGUUGUUUAAACUUGCAAAUCGAAGGAUUUCAUGAAGUUAGGACAAAAGGUUUCUAGCGAAGCUGGAAAAGGCUUUGAUGUGACAAAUUUCUGGUAGCUUCAUCAAUGUUUGAUUAUAUAUGCCCCACAGGCCUGUGUUGGUCAUGCCUUUUAUGAGGUCAAUGGCUGCAUCACUUGUAGUGUGUUCUCGUAUAGUAGGUCCAAUCCGAGUCCUCAUGUCAUACGUGAUACCAUAUUGGAUCUUUGUAAUGUGGUUGGAUAUGGUUACCUACUUGUAUCACCGCUGCCACGAGCAAAAGCUUCGUCGGCACAGAGGGGAGGAAUGUAGUUAUCUAAGUGGAGGGCUCACAAAAGUUGAUUGUGAUUAUGGGUGGAUUAACAACAUUCAUCACGACAUUGGAACUCACGUUAUCCAUCAUCUAUUCCACCCAGAUUUCACAUUAUCAUUUGGUAGAAACAACCAAGGCAUCUAAACAUGUACUUGGUAAGUAUUAAUAUCUAGUACCAAGUAGAUUUGCUGCAUUGUCAUUAGACACUAUUAUGUUUGUAGAUGUCUCAUAGAACAGCAUAUGUUUUGACUUCUGCAUCUUUUUAGCUCUUCUGAAGGAAGUUGUUAGAAAAAGUGGAGUGUAUGGACAACCAUAACAUUUCUCAUUUCAUCACUGUUGUGUAGGUGCUUUUUAAGUUUUGUUUUGGAUUUUGAUUUAAUUGGGUAAUUGUGGUUCUGUGAAGUGGAUUUUGUUAAUAGAGGUGAAUUAGUUUUUAUGUUUGUGUGAUUUAUGUUCAUAGCGACUCAAUCAAAAAUAUUGACUGUCUGAGUCAUUCUCUAGUUUUUGUUCGCUUUUACAGUAGAUUCACUCUCUGAAGUCAUGGUAGCUGCCCUGGUUUUCCAGCUUUAUGAAAAUGGAUGUUCUCUUAUCCUCCCUAUAGAUCUCAACUAAGUUUUUUUUUCGUUCUCAGCAAAAUAAGAUAUGGGUUUUGUUAAUCAGCAAUUCAUUUUCUUAAUCUAACCCCUUUUCUUAAUCUUCCGUCACUAACAUAUUCAUUAGCAGGUACUAAGAUCCCUGCCUUAAUUAGUGGCACCCAAUGAAAUUGUUAGUCCUUGGUAACUAGAAAUAAUUGGUUAGAUGUUUUUAUGUUCAAUGAUUCAGUGAAUUUGAGCUGAAUGAAAUUGUGUUUCAGUUGAUUCUAAUUGAAUGGUUAUCUUCAAUUUGACAAUUUUAAUAACCGUAUCCCUUUUCCUACUUAGAUGCAUCUCAAAUGAAUCAUGUAUCAGUGAAAGAAUUGCUUUGGAAGUUCUUAAUCCGUGUAUAAAUAUGUAGGUUUGAUUUACAAGUGUUUACUAUUAGAAUUUGCUAUGUAGAUUGUGAUUUCUUGAAAUGAAUACCGAAUUUUUAUAAUCAGAAUGAAGAGUUUUAGGUUUUGAAAGCUCAGGGUCUUUAUGAAAUUGUUGGUUUUAGGACUGAACUUUGUCGAUUCAGUGGUGCAAAGAUCUACCCUGGUAGGGGUAUUAGAUUUAUCAGGAGCGAUUCUCAGGUGUUCCUUUUUGUCAAACUCUAAAUGUAAGAGGUACUUCCGCAACAAGCUUAAGCCAGUAGGUGGUUCAUUAAGAAAAGCUUUUGAUGAAAUUUUUUUAAGACAAAUUGCUGGAUGUUAACAUUCUCUUGGGUCUGACAUUUGUUAAUUUGAAGUUGUGUUAUUUAUAAAACAAUUGUUAACAUAUGUAUGAACUCAUUGUUCAGGUACCAUGUAUUCUUCAAGUAAGCACUAGUUAAGUUUCUUAUCUAUUUGAGUUUUAAGUA
Papaver somniferum (opium poppy) is the source of this 1965-nucleotide RNA transcript. It is a transcript of the gene named temperature-sensitive sn-2 acyl-lipid omega-3 desaturase (ferredoxin), chloroplastic-like, with no coding region annotated. The record is from RefSeq and is a predicted model, not a curated record. The transcript is spliced from 7 exons. Lineage: Eukaryota; Viridiplantae; Streptophyta; Magnoliopsida; Ranunculales; Papaveraceae.